This 104-nucleotide unclassified non-coding RNA is filed under the name Brucella sp. 191011898. RNAcentral describes it as "BASRCI153". The record is from RNAcentral. Lineage: Bacteria; Pseudomonadati; Pseudomonadota; Alphaproteobacteria; Hyphomicrobiales; Brucellaceae.
GAGCGGGUCUCCCGAAAGUGGGAGCGGCCUCUGCGAGGAAAUCAGUCCACCGGGCCGAUUUCUGAUCCCGUUUCGAUGCGUUGGAAAAUGCUCUAAAUGAUGCG